AACGAACGCUGGCGGCAGGCUUAACACAUGCAAGUCGAGCGCCCCGCAAGGGGCGCGGCAGACGGGUGAGUAACGCGUGGGAACGUACCUUUUGGUUCGGAACAACUCCGGGAAACUGGAGCUAAUACCGGAUAAGCCCUAACGGGGAAAGAUUUAUCGCCGAAAGAUCGGCCCGCGUCUGAUUAGCUAGUUGGUGAGGUAACGGCUCACCAAGGCGACAAUCAGUAGCUGGUCUGAGAGGAUGAUCAGCCACACUGGGACUGAGACACGGCCCAGACUCCUACGGGAGGCAGCAGUGGGGAAUAUUGGACAAUGGGCGCAAGCCUGAUCCAGCCAUGCCGCGUGAGUGAUGAAGGCCUUAGGGUUGUAAAGCUCUUUUGUCCGGGAAGAUAAUGACUGUACCGGAAGAAUAAGCCCCGGCUAACUUCGUG
This 431-nucleotide ribosomal RNA is filed under the name uncultured bacterium. RNAcentral describes it as "partial 16S ribosomal RNA". It matches the Rfam family "Bacterial small subunit ribosomal RNA", at positions 29 to 507 of the family's 1533-position model. The record is from RNAcentral.